This 466-nucleotide ribosomal RNA is filed under the name uncultured bacterium. RNAcentral describes it as "partial 16S ribosomal RNA". It matches the Rfam family "Bacterial small subunit ribosomal RNA", at positions 28 to 507 of the family's 1533-position model. The record is from RNAcentral.
GAUGAACGCUGGCGGCGUGCUUAACACAUGCAAGUCGAACGAUGAAGCCCAGCUUGCUGGGUGGAUUAGUGGCGAACGGGUGAGUAACACGUGAGUAACCUGCCCUUAACUCUGGGAUAAGCCUGGGAAACUGGGUCUAAUACCGGAUAGGAGCGUCCACCGCAUGGUGGGCGUUGGAAAGAUUUAUCGGUUUUGGAUGGACUCGCGGCCUAUCAGCUUGUUGGUGAGGUAAUGGCUCACCAAGGCGACGACGGGUAGCCGGCCUGAGAGGGUGACCGGCCACACUGGGACUGAGACACGGCCCAGACUCCUACGGGAGGCAGCAGUGGGGAAUAUUGCACAAUGGGCGAAAGCCUGAUGCAGCGACGCCGCGUGAGGGAUGACGGCCUUCGGGUUGUAAACCUCUUUCAGUAGGGAAGAAGCGAAAGUGACGGUACCUGCAGAAGAAGCACCGGCUAACUACGUG